GAUGAACGCUGGCGGCGUGCCUAAUACAUGCAAGUCGAGCGAACAGACGAGGAGCUUGCUCCUCUGACGUCAGCGGCGGACGGGUGAGUAACACGUGGAUAACCUACCUAUAAGACUGGGAUAACUUCGGGAAACCGGAGCUAAUACCGGAUAAUAUAUUGAACCGCAUGGUUCGAUAGUGAAAGACGGUUUUGCUGUCACUUAUAGAUGGAUCCGCGCCGCAUUAGCUAGUUGGUAAGGUAACGGCUUACCAAGGCAACGAUGCGUAGCCGACCUGAGAGGGUGAUCGGCCACACUGGAACUGAGACACGGUCCAGACUCCUACGGGAGGCAGCAGUAGGGAAUCUUCCGCAAUGGGCGAAAGCUUGACGGAGCAACGCCGCGUGAGUGAUGAAGGUCUUCGGAUCGUAAAACUCUGUUAUUAGGGAAGAACAAAUGUGUAAGUAACUAUGCACGUCUUGACGGUACCUAAUCAGAAAGCCACGGCUAACUACGUG
RNAcentral lists this ribosomal RNA (497 nucleotides) under uncultured bacterium. RNAcentral describes it as "partial 16S ribosomal RNA". It matches the Rfam family "Bacterial small subunit ribosomal RNA", at positions 28 to 507 of the family's 1533-position model. The record is from RNAcentral.